Molecule: ribosomal RNA, 780 nt
Filed under: uncultured Acidobacteriota bacterium
Lineage: Bacteria; Pseudomonadati; Acidobacteriota
Description: bacterial SSU rRNA
Rfam family: Bacterial small subunit ribosomal RNA
Source: RNAcentral
UAACACGUGGAUGAUCUACCUUCUGGUGAGGAAUAACCCUGGGAAACCGGGGAUAAUACCGCAUAAGCUCGAGAGAGGAAAGCAGCAAUGCGCCGGAAGAGGAGUCCGCGGCCGAUUAGCUAGUUGGCAGGGUAAAAGCCUACCAAGGCGAAGAUCGGUAGCCGGCCUGAGAGGGCACACGGCCACACUGGCACUGAAACACGGGCCAGACUCCUACGGGAGGCAGCAGUGGGGAAUCUUGCACAAUGGGGGAAACCCUGAUGCAGCGACGCCGCGUGAGCGAUGAAGCCCUUCGGGGUGUAAAGCUCUUUCGGCAGGGAAGAUGAUGACGGUACCUGCAGAAGCAGCUGCGGCUAACUACGUGCCAGCAGCCGCGGUAAUACGUAGGCAGCAAGCGUUGUUCGGAGUUACUGGGCGUAAAGGGUGUGUAGGCGGUUGUUUAAGUUUGGUGUGAAAUCUCCCGGCUCAACUGGGAGGGUGCGCCGAAUACUGAAUGACUCGAGUGCGGGAGAGGAGAGUGGAAUUCCUGGUGUAGCGGUGAAAUGCGUAGAUAUCAGGAGGAACACCGGUGGUGUAGACGGCUCUCUGGACCGUAACUGACGCUGAGACACGAAAGCGUGGGUAGCAAACAGGAUUAGAUACCCUGGUAGUCCACGCCCUAAACGAUGCAUAUUUGGUGUGGGCCGUUCAGUCGGUCCGUGCCGGAGCUAACGCGUUAAAUAUGCCGCCUGGGGAGUACAGUCGCAAGGCUGAAACUCAAAGGAAUUGACGGGGGCCCGC